Molecule: long non-coding RNA, 430 nt
Organism: Saccostrea echinata
Lineage: Eukaryota; Metazoa; Mollusca; Bivalvia; Ostreida; Ostreidae
Exons: 2
Source: RefSeq, a predicted model, not a curated record
CGAUGAUUUUAUUCAAUCUUAGGAAUACACCUAUAGUCAACAGAGUCAUGAAUAAACGUGCCCUUGUUUUGAUUUUGGUGGUCUUACUUUUGAUUGACCAUGUUCAGGAAUCAGAAGCACUUAGACUGCGUAGAAUUUUUAGAAAGGCAAAACGAGUAGGAAGAAGAAUUAUACGGUCAAGGAAAACAAGAACUGCAGCAAGAUGGGCAGGAAGAGCAGCAAAAGUUGGCUUACUGGUCGGUUGAUGGCAGAGGAAUAUGCUUUGAGAAGAAAUAUGAACAAUGUGUAAAACUGAUAGAAAAAAGAAGCUAGUUUAAUUUUUUUUGGAUUUCAAGCUAUGGUUUACAUAGACAUUUUCUUUUGCAAUAUUCUGGUUAAUUUUCUUAAUGUCUUUGUAAUUAGAGACUUAAAAAUAAAGAAUGGGAUCAUA